CCCUUGUGCAGCUGCUAUAAAAAAAAGUAUGGUUGACUUGUUGUUCCCUCCUGACUGGGAUGUCAGUUCCUGAAAAGAGGGGCUUUUAUUUUAUCUACUAUAUUCUAGUGACCGGAACAGUGUCUGACACACAGGAGGUACUCAUACAUGUUGAAUAAAUGAAAUGGAUGUAAAUGCACGUAUUUCUUUGUGGCAUUUAUUUUCUUAAAUACCGAAAUAAAAAUAUUAUUAAACCAUUUCAAUGAAAUAGUAUGGUUUUAUAUUUUCCACAUGUUUUUAUGCCUUCUUCUUUACACACAUCCCAAAGAACAUGAUCUCUAUUAGUGAAGAGUAUUGAUACAAAAAGUUCUGGUGUGUGUGUGUGUGUGUGUGUGUGUGUGUGUGUAUGUGUGUGUGUGUCUGCGGGGGUAGGGGGGAGAGGAGGGCAUUUUCCAACAGAAUGGUGCUGGGACAGACCAAUAGCAGUGGAAAUCAAGUCAUGGAAUUUGCAACUUUUAAGAACCUCAGCAAACAGACUGUCUCGGUGGCUUAAAUGCCAACAAACACAACAGAAUGUAGUUGCAGAACAAUCAGGUUUCAGCAGAGGUCUUUCAAAAUGACACAUCCAACCGGCUGGGAGAGCUUUCAGACAGCAGAAGGACUGAGUGUGGCGGCCAGGAAUCCUCCUGAGAGUGAAGGUCUGACUCCCAGCCACUCCCUACUCAGUGUGAUUGAGAAAUACAGCUUCCAACACCAUAAUGUACUUGAUGUCUAUGUUGUUUUUUCCUCCACAGCUUGAAAUUUCCUGAUGUUAGUGAUAAGUUGGCUGGUGAUAAGUCAGUUAGUGAUAAGUCAACUGCCAGUUCUCACACUCUAUAAAGAUUUUUGAGGCUCACACUCUAUAAAGAUGUUCUGAGGCUGAAUGAAGAAUUUUGAUGGUCUCACUCUUAAUAUGCCAGAUAAGAAUAUGUACAGUAAUUUAUUAAAAUUGCUACACUUGGAAUGAGGAAAUGAAGUUAAUAAUUGCUACAUUCAGGAUGUGGUAAUAAAUUUUAAUAAUUUGAAAUAGAGCCGAGAUUUCAAUUGUCUUGGGGGUGUAGCCAUCUGAUUAAAUUUAUACUUCAUAUGCAGUCAAUCCCAGUUAAU
Long non-coding RNA from Pipistrellus kuhlii (Kuhl's pipistrelle), 1125 nucleotides. RefSeq lists it as uncharacterized. NCBI's taxonomy places the organism in Eukaryota, Metazoa, Chordata, Mammalia, Chiroptera, Vespertilionidae. The record is from RefSeq and is a predicted model, not a curated record. The transcript has 2 exons.